RNAcentral lists this ribosomal RNA (1466 nucleotides) under Enterococcus hirae. RNAcentral describes it as "bacterial SSU rRNA". It matches the Rfam family "Bacterial small subunit ribosomal RNA". Lineage: Bacteria; Bacillati; Bacillota; Bacilli; Lactobacillales; Enterococcaceae. The record is from RNAcentral.
UGGCGGUGCGGGUCUAUAAUGCAGUCGACGCUUCUUUUUCCACCGGAGCUUGCUCCACCGGAAAAAGAGGAGUGGCGAACGGGUGAGUAACACGUGGGUAACCUGCCCAUCAGAAGGGGAUAACACUUGGAAACAGGUGCUAAUACCGUAUAACAAUCGAAACCGCAUGGUUUUGAUUUGAAAGGCGCUUUCGGGUGUCGCUGAUGGAUGGACCCGCGGUGCAUUAGCUAGUUGGUGAGGUAACGGCUCACCAAGGCGACGAUGCAUAGCCGACCUGAGAGGGUGAUCGGCCACAUUGGGACUGAGACACGGCCCAAACUCCUACGGGAGGCAGCAGUAGGGAAUCUUCGGCAAUGGACGAAAGUCUGACCGAGCAACGCCGCGUGAGUGAAGAAGGUUUUCGGAUCGUAAAACUCUGUUGUUAGAAGAAGAACAAGGGAUGAGAGUAACUGUUCAUCCCUUGACGGUAUCUAACCCAGAAAGCCACGGCUAACUACGUGCCAGCAGCCGCGGUAAUACGUAGGUGGCAAGCGUUGUCCGGGAUUUAUUGGGCGUAAAGCGAGCGCAGGCGGUUUCUUAAGUCUGAUGUGAAAGCCCCCGGCUCAACCGGGGAGGGUCAUUGGAAACUGGGAGACUUGAGUGCAGAAGAGGAGAGUGGAAUUCCAUGUGUAGCGGUGAAAUGCGUAGAUAUAUGGAGGAACACCAGUGGCGAAGGCGGCUCUCUGGUCUGUAACUGACGCUGAGGCUCGAAAGCGUGGGGAGCAAACAGGAUUAGAUACCCUGGUAGUCCACGCCGUAAACGAUGAGUGCUAAGUGUUGGAGGGUUUCCGCCCUUCAGUGCUGCAGCUAACGCAUUAAGCACUCCGCCUGGGGAGUACGACCGCAAGGUUGAAACUCAAAGGAAUUGACGGGGGCCCGCACAAGCGGUGGAGCAUGUGGUUUAAUUCGAAGCAACGCGAAGAACCUUACCAGGUCUUGACAUCCUUUGACCACUCUAGAGAUAGAGCUUCCCCUUUCGGGGGCAAAGUGACAGGUGGGUGCAUGGUUGUCGUCAGCUCGUGUCGUGAGAUGUUGGGUUAAGUCCCGCAACGAGCGCAACCCUUAUUGUUAGUUGCCAUCAUUUAGUUGGGCACUCUAGCAAGACUGCCGGUGACAAACCGGAGGAAGGUGGGGAUGACGUCAAAUCAUCAUGCCCCUUAUGACCUGGGCUACACACGUGCUACAAUGGGAAGUACAACGAGUCGCAAAGUCGCGAGGCUAAGCUAAUCUCUUAAAGCUUCUCUCAGUUCGGAUUGUAGGCUGCAACUCGCCUACAUGAAGCCGGAAUCGCUAGUAAUCGCGGAUCAGCACGCCGCGGUGAAUACGUUCCCGGGCCUUGUACACACCGCCCGUCACACCACGAGAGUUUGUAACACCCGAAGUCGGUGAGGUAACCUUUGGAGCCAGCCGCCUAAGUGAAUGAAGUU